CGUAGAUGGCGACCGGCGCACGGGUGAGUAACACGUAUCCAACCUGCCGAUAACUCGGGGAUAGCCUUUCGAAAGAAAGAUUAAUACCCGAUGGUAUAAUCAGACCGCAUGGUCUUGUUAUUAAAGAAUUUCGGUUAUCGAUGGGGAUGCGUUCCAUUAGGCAGUUGGUGAGGUAACGGCUCACCAAACCUUCGAUGGAUAGGGGUUCUGAGAGGAAGGUCCCCCACAUUGGAACUGAGACACGGUCCAA
Molecule: ribosomal RNA, 250 nt
Filed under: uncultured bacterium
Lineage: Bacteria
Description: partial 16S ribosomal RNA
Rfam family: Bacterial small subunit ribosomal RNA
Source: RNAcentral